Molecule: long non-coding RNA, 410 nt
Filed under: Anser brachyrhynchus (Pink-footed goose)
Lineage: Eukaryota; Metazoa; Chordata; Aves; Anseriformes; Anatidae
Description: lncRNA (ENSABRG00000020586.1)
Source: RNAcentral
AUGAGGAUUGUCAUGUUAAACUGGCUACCUCUGAAUGAAGUCCUCUUUCAUGAAUGCCAGUUUGAUACUACGCUGGACCUCAUAAGCAUGCCUCACACAGUGUGUGCACCUUUUCCACUUGGCAUAUGCCUGAUUGGCUUCUCAGAGAGAGCAGUGCACUUCCCUCCUCACCCAGCGGAUGCUGUGCUGCUACCUUUGGUGCCAUCCUCAAACCCUGCUCUGAACACGAACCCCGCAUUUCCUCAUAGACUUCUCAGAGAUCUGUUGACACUGUCCUAUUCAAGCAGAUGGAAAAAAUGAUGGCUGUGACAGAAAGGACAAGCUUCUUUCAAGUCUUUUUUUUUUCAAUAAGGUAAGAAAGAGAAAUCAUUUCAAAUAAAGUCAGCUUUUUUUUAUGUUUGAGAUGAGGG